This 346-nucleotide ribosomal RNA is filed under the name uncultured bacterium. RNAcentral describes it as "bacterial SSU rRNA". It matches the Rfam family "Bacterial small subunit ribosomal RNA", at positions 8 to 334 of the family's 1533-position model. The record is from RNAcentral.
AGGGUUUGAUUAUGGCUCAGGAUGAACGCUGGCGGCGUGCUUAACACAUGCAAGUCGAACGAAGCAUUUACGACAGAUUUCUUCGGAUUGAAGUUGUUUAUGACUGAGUGGCGGACGGGUGAGUAACGCGUGGGUAACCUGCCUCAUACAGGGGGAUAGCAGCUGGAAACGGCUGGUAAUACCGCAUAAGCGCACAGCAUCACAUGAUGCAGUGUGAAAAACUCCGGUGGUAUGAGAUGGACCCGCGUCUGAUUAGCUAGUUGGUGAGGUAACGGCCCACCAAGGCGACGAUCAGUAGCCGACCUGAGAGGGUGACCGGCCACAUUGGGACUGAGACACGGCCCAG